RNAcentral lists this ribosomal RNA (253 nucleotides) under uncultured bacterium. Its description in RNAcentral is "partial 16S ribosomal RNA". It matches the Rfam family "Bacterial small subunit ribosomal RNA", at positions 524 to 776 of the family's 1533-position model. The record is from RNAcentral.
GACGAAGGGGGCUAGCGUUGUUCGGAAUUACUGGGCGUAAAGCGCGUGUAGGCGGUUGUCCGAGUUGGAUGUGAAAGCCUUGAGCUUAACUCAAGAAAUGCAUUCAGGACUGGAUGACUAGAGGACCGGAGAGGAUAGUGGAAUUCCCAGUGUAGUGGUGAAAUACGUAGAGAUUGGGAAGAACACCAGUGGCGAAGGCGGCUAUCUGGACGGUUUCUGACGCUAAGACGCGAAAGCGUGGGGAGCAAACAGG